CAAGUCGAGGGGCAGCACAGGUAGCAAUACUGGGUGGCGACCGGCAAACGGGUGCGGAACACGUACGGAACCUUCCUUUAAGCGGGGGAUAGCCCAGGGAAACUUGGAUUAAUACCCCAUAAGAAUGCAGAGUGGCAUCACUCAGCAUUUAAAGCUACGGCACUUAAAGAUGGGCGUGCGGCUGAUUAGGUAGUUGGCGGGGUAACGGCCCACCAAGCCGACGAUCAGUAACUGGUGUGAGAGCACGACCAGUCACACGGGCACUGAGACACGGGCCCGACUCCUACGGGAGGCAGCAGUAAGGAAUAUUGGUCAAUGGACGCAAGUCUGAACCAGCCAUGCCGCGUGGAGGAUGAAGGCCCUCUGGGUUGUAAACUUCUUUUAUCUGGGAAGAAACCGGACUUUUCUAAGGCCGUUGACGGUACCAGAUGAAUAAGCACCGGCUAACUCCGUGCCAGCAGCCGCGGUAAUACGGAGGGUGCAAGCGUUAUCCGGAUUCACUGGGUUUAAAGGGUGCGUAGGUGGGCAGGUAAGUCAGUGGUGAAAUCUCCGGGCUUAACCCGGAAACUGCCGUUGAUACUAUCUGUCUUGAAUGUAGUGGAGGUGAGCGGAAUAUGUCAUGUAGCGGUGAAAUGCUUAGAUAUGACAUAGAACAUCGAUUGCGAAGGCAGCUCGCUACACUAUGAUUGACACUGAGGCACGAAAGCGUGGGGAUCAAACAGGAUUAGAUACCCUGGUAGUCCACGCCCUAAACGAUGGAUACUCGACAUCAGCGAUAAACUGUUGGUGUCUGAGCGAAAGCAUUAAGUAUCCCACCUGGGAAGUACGACCGCAAGGUUGAAACUCAAAGGAAUUGACGGGGGUCCGCACAAGCGGUGGA
RNAcentral lists this ribosomal RNA (880 nucleotides) under uncultured Sphingobacteriia bacterium. Its description in RNAcentral is "bacterial SSU rRNA". It matches the Rfam family "Bacterial small subunit ribosomal RNA", at positions 58 to 936 of the family's 1533-position model. The record is from RNAcentral. Lineage: Bacteria; Pseudomonadati; Bacteroidota; Sphingobacteriia.